This 253-nucleotide ribosomal RNA is filed under the name uncultured bacterium. RNAcentral's name for it is "partial 16S ribosomal RNA". It matches the Rfam family "Bacterial small subunit ribosomal RNA", at positions 524 to 776 of the family's 1533-position model. The record is from RNAcentral.
UACGUAGGUGGCAAGCGUUACUCGGAAUCACUAGGCGUAAAGCGCAGGUAGGAGGUUUGGUAAGUCUGUUGUGAAAGCUCCCGGCUUAACUGGGAGAGGUCAACGGAAACUGCCAGGCUGGAGUGCGGUAGAGGUAGCUGGAAUUCCUGGUGUAGCGGUGAAAUGCGUAGAUAUCAGGAGGAACACCGGUGGUGUAGACGGCUAUCUGGACCGUAACUGACGCUGAGGCACGAAAGCGUGGGUAGCAAACAGG